CUUCACCUGCCUGAGCUGUUCCUGGCCCCCACAGACAGCAGCUCUAAGCAGGAGGCAAGGAGGAGCACCUGCCUCUCCUUCCCCCCCUGCAUUCCAGGGGUGUUUCCUGCAGAUGGCCCAGCACAUCUACCCCAUCCAAGACCAGGGAGCAAAGCAGCGAGAGGAAGAUGUGGCUUGCCUUUCUGCUCUUGAAGAAUUCAGAGGGAAGCAUAAGACUCUUGCCCUCUGCUCAAUUCCAGCUAUGCAUCCAGUGUCUGAACAGAUGGGACAUUUUCUCCAUUUUGGUUUUGUCAGAAGCUUCCUGAAAAAAACUGCCAUGGGAAAUCUACAAGGCCUUUAUGUUCAACAAAUACAUCCCAUAUGGAAUUUUGAUGGAAAAAAAUGCUCA
RNAcentral lists this long non-coding RNA (388 nucleotides) under Parus major (Great Tit). RNAcentral's name for it is "lncRNA (ENSPMJG00000012441.1)". Lineage: Eukaryota; Metazoa; Chordata; Aves; Passeriformes; Paridae. The record is from RNAcentral.